CUUAGACUGCAAAACAAAUGUUAGAUGACAUAUUUUUGGUGCUUUUGGUUAGUGAUUAAAACAAGAAAAGCAAUGAUACAUAGUGCAAGCAAGCCCGGUGAUCUUAAACCACUCGCAGGAGAUCCCAACCCAAAGGGAAAAGAAGCCAAGAUGCUCAAAGAUCUUUGAGGCUAUGCUAUGCAAUGAUAUGAUGCCAUGAGGGAUCUUAGGGACAAAAUUGGGGUCUUACAAUAAGCAACUUUUCGUCAUCGG
Molecule: long non-coding RNA, 252 nt
Filed under: Lathyrus oleraceus (garden pea)
Lineage: Eukaryota; Viridiplantae; Streptophyta; Magnoliopsida; Fabales; Fabaceae
Description: Pisum sativum (pea) long non-coding RNA (PSAT_LNC027882)
Source: RNAcentral